UGGGGAAUUUUGGACAAUGGGCGAAAGCCUGAUCCAGCAAUGCCGCGUGUGUGAAGAAGGCCUUCGGGUUGUAAAGCACUUUUGUCCGGAAAGAAAUCCUUGGCUCUAAUACAGUCGGGGGAUGACGGUACCGGAAGAAUAAGCACCGGCUAACUACGUGCCAGCAGCCGCGGUAAUACGUAGGGUGCAAGCGUUAAUCGGAAUUACUGGGCGUAAAGCGUGCGCAGGCGGUUUGCUAAGACCGAUGUGAAAUCCCCGGGCUCAACCUGGGAACUGCAUUGGUGACUGGCAGGCUAGAGUAUGGCAGAGGGGGGUAGAAUUCCACGUGUAGCAGUGAAAUGCGUAGAGAUGUGGAGGAAUACCGAUGGCGAAGGCAGCCCCCUGGGCCAAUACUGACGCUCAUGCACGAAAGCGGGGGAGCAAACAGAUUAGAUACCCUGGUAGUCCACGCCCUAAACGAUGUCAACUAGUUGUUGGGGAUUCAUUUUCCUUAGUAACGUAGCUAACGCGUGAAGUUGACCG
This 522-nucleotide ribosomal RNA is filed under the name uncultured bacterium. RNAcentral's name for it is "partial 16S ribosomal RNA". It matches the Rfam family "Bacterial small subunit ribosomal RNA", at positions 355 to 871 of the family's 1533-position model. The record is from RNAcentral.